AAACAAUGCAUCUCAUUUCUGUGAUCGAAAAUAUAAAAAAAGAGAAACAAAAGCCGGAGCCAGCGACAUCGCUCGAAUUUAUUCAAUCUUGGCGAAAAGACUGAGUGUUUGCAGAACCAUAGGAGUAUCGUUGGAAAAGACGAAUACAGGGUAAUGGCUUAAACACGCGAAUUGUAUUUAGGAAGACGUGCUGGCCAAACUAUUGCAAGUUUGAUUGUUCAGCAUAAUGUUAGAACAACAAACUCUUCACCUAUGCACGGUCAUCAGCCCCCGCCAGGUCCUGGCCUGUCAUUUGUGUCACAAGGAAGUACCACACCUGGUCAUGUGUCAGGAAUUGGAGAGAUAACAUCUUACUUAGAAGUAAAUUGAAGGCAGCCAACAAUUGGACGGUGGUGCCAAUCAAUGAAAAGAAGGGAUACACGUACAUGCACUGAGUACACAGAGAUCAUCAAGGAAAAAACCCUUCGAUCAAAGUUCCUUUUUGAUUCAGCUUAUCCAAAGCUGAUUUCCUCUACAAUUGCCCCUUAUAUAUCCACCUGCGGCUAAUGAGGAGCUGCAAUAUCCAAUAGGUCAAGGGCAAGCAACCCGGAAACAAUAUGAAGAUUUACUCAUACAAAUUGGUACAUGGUGUAUGUAACUAUGUUGUUUUAACUAACUUCAACAUAACUGACUAUGGGUAGGAACAUGUUGUGUGACUUUGGCAGCAUGGUUUUAUUGGAUGUAUACCAUUGAGUAUGAAAGUGCAUGUGUGACCCUGGCUGUUUUUUCAGUCAGUAGAUGACUUUAGUAUUUGAAAUGAUGCUUGAAUUUAUAUGUGUAAUAUGAAGGCGUGACCAAAUGUGUGACAUUAUGGUCGACUGUCCUGUCAUCAUCAUGGUGAUAAAAUGUGAUUUUAAUAAGUGAACUGCUUAUAAACAUAAGGCAGAAAUAUCAUUGAUAAAAUACUGAUGAACAUAGCAUACAAGUGCCCUGAAAUGCCAUGAGAAUAUGUAUUUGAGUUUUAAGUGUGUAAGGUAUUGUGAAUUUUGUUAAUUGUUUUGUUAUAAAAAUAUAGGAUCCAAAGUAUUCAAUCAUAGAUCACUCUGAAAAAGAAGAAUAAGUAAAAACCUUGUCUGGCAAAUAACUACAUAAAUAAUGGGCCAAGUUCCAGAUUUUUUUGUCACAAGUCAAGACCAUUAACAGGAAUUGUUGACUCUUAUAGGUGUUAUGUAUCAUGAUUUGUGUUAAGUUUAUUAUGGGAGACCCAUGAUCAAACAUGGUGAAUUAAUUGUUUUGUUAUUACAAUAGAGGAUCCAAAGUAUUUGAUCAUAGGUCACUCUGAAACAGAAGAAUUUGUGAAAACCUUGUCUGGCAAAUAGCUAAAUAAACACUUGGCUCAGCAUUUUCCUGAUUUUUUGUCACAAGUAAAGACUAUGAAAAGGAAUUAUUGACUCUUUUAGGUAUAAGCUACCGUAGUCAAUGUUGAGUGCGUGCUGCACACCACAUUUGUUUAUGUUCCAUUAACAAUGACAUCAAAGCACAAUGCUAUAUAUAGAUUAUGUAUUGUUUUCCAUUGUUUAUCAGUCUAUAAACAACCAUUUAUUGUAAUAGCCUUACAUAAACUGUCAUAAAGAUGAUAAAGUGCUGUUAAUCCAUUAAAGGGGCCUUUUCACAGAUUUUGGCAUUUUUUUAACUUAUUCAUUAAAUGCUUUAUAUUGAUAAAUGUAAACAUUGGAUCAUAAAAGCUCCAGUAAAAAAUCAAGAAAAAAAUUUAAAAAAGGAAAAGAACAUUGCCCGGAGCAGGUUUCGAACCGUGACCCCUGGAGUCCUUCCAGAGUCCUGAAGUAAAAACGCUUUAGCCUACUGAGCUAUUCCGCCGAGUACACAUUCGUGACGUAUUUUAUACCUUAUAUAAGCAAUCUUCGUAGUUUCACAAAAUUUAACGACAAAAACAGAACUCUCCAAAUUAUUCAAUCGUUUCGCGUUGCAACGCUUUAUAAUUUUUAGGUUUUAAAAUCGUCAAAAGAUGCAUAUAAUGGCUAUAUUAGAGCAUGGUUAAUGUUCAGUAUUACUGUUUCCUCACAAAUAUCAUAACUAAAACGAAAACUUACGAAUCUGAAACAACUUUUUUCAAUUUUGUCAAUUUACCAAAGCGUGAAAAGAUCCCUUUAAUAAAAAAUUGGUGGAAUUCAGAAAUAAUCUGAUCUGUCAAAUGUUGAAAGUUGGAAACAGUUAUUCAAAAUGUUAUCAAUUAUAGUUUUGUUUCAUGAAUAUAGAGUAUUAUGUUUUGUGUUCAUUAUGUUAUGGAUUGUGUUGUUUUGGUUUAAAAUGUUUUAAUAAAUAACAUGAAGAAAUAA
Molecule: long non-coding RNA, 2336 nt
Organism: Dreissena polymorpha
Lineage: Eukaryota; Metazoa; Mollusca; Bivalvia; Myida; Dreissenidae
Exons: 3
Source: RefSeq, a predicted model, not a curated record